CAGGGGCCGAGGCGGCCGCUCCCGCAGCCUCCGGCCGCCCCUCAUCCAGAGCCGGGCCCGCGCCGCUCCGCCGCCUCGCACGCCGCCAUCUCGGCCCCGUCACCCGGGAGACGCGGCCGCCCCUUCCGGCCGUGCACCGCCUCCCGUGCGCUGCGCUCCGCCCCGCUCGGGCCGUCCGGGGGCUGCGGCUGGGGCCGGGUACAGCUGGGCCGGGCUGCCCGCCCCGACAGCGGCCUGCGCCCUUCCCCGCCCGCCUUCCUCUGAAGCGGCUGAGGGUUUGAGCCGGCUCUUUGGCUCUGGGGGGAGCUGCCAGAAAAAGGCGUUGCCCUUUAGCCGUGGCGGGUUGUUGCAUACGGGGCAGUAAAGGUGUUCCUCUAUGGUCGAUAGGGUGCUGAGCUGUAAAUUUGGAUGUUAAUAAAAAACAAACAUUGCUGAAGUUGCUUCUGAGGGGUGAAGCGCCAGUGCCACAGUUUGUUAACCAACUGCUUGUCCGUUUUAGUGGCUGGUUAAGUGAUGUUAAGUUAAUGUAAGGCUUUCCAGAGCUCUGGGUAAAACUCCAGUUGUGUUACACUUGGUAGGUGAGGUAAAAGGGGUGUUCGUUCCUUUCUUCCAUGGAAACCUAUUCAGUUCUAGUGCAGCACUAAUACAGCAUUCCUUUCAACUCCAAGCUGUAGCACUUGGUUCAUUGUGUGCUCUUUAAAUAUCUUGGUAUGAAGACUUCAUGUUCUGCCACUGGAUUUACUCAGCUGCUGUAUUUCAUAUGUGUGUCGGGCAUCCAUCCAUCAGAUGGAUGAUAGGAGAAUGGCUCUUGUAAGGAGGCAGUGGUAUAGAUACCACUAUGAUAGAGUUCCUUCAUUUCCUGACACCGUGACUGAAUUUCCACAACUCUUCAUCAAAAAGCAGACCCCAAAGGGCCAAAGAACCAACCAUGAUAUAGCUGACCAUGGGACAAGGACCCUGCCAGCCAGGACACAGCAGGGUGAUCUGGGGGCAGCUCAGAGUCCAGACUACCAGGCAGGUUUCUGGUGAUGAGGCAGAUCUGAGGACAAGCCAGUGAGUCUGCACUGGUCGAAGAUCAGUAGAGUCCAUAUCAAGUCAGGACAUGGUUGUGACCAAGCUUAAGGGCAGCACUCCUGUGAUGCUGAGACUUGUCUACAAAAAGAUGAAGUUGAACCAACUACUGGAAUGUAUAUGCACUGGGCCAGCUAAAAGAAAAAUAAUCCCACAGUUGAGGUAAUUCACAUCAAUCCUGAAUUCUCACUUCAUGGCUGUUUAGUUCUUGGUGCUGUCUGCCUUUGUAAGGAAUCAGUGUAUUUCAUGACAUUAAAAUUACAGAAGUUUUGAAGAAAAAUUACUUAAUGCAUCUAUCUGUCUGCAUAUGCUAGAGGUAUGGAAUCUUUAAAAACACAAAUCAUUGUACUUUUCAGUGUGGGGAAAAAACCUCAGCAGGACAGUGCUCUGACUGAACCCUGAAUGUUACUGUUUUCAAUACUCGAACAAAUGAGUAGAAACUAAGACUGCUGUUUGCAAAACAAGCCAGCUUAAGCAUCCAAGAAUAAACCUGUAAUUAAAACAAAAAUAUGAGGCCACAAAGAAACCAUCUCUCAUUACUGAUAUCACCACAAAUAUAACUUCAUUCUUAGAAGAUCCAUCAAGAUACCUCUGACCAGGACACUCCAGUCUAAUUUGGACCUGCACAUGUUGUCCAACAUGCUCUUUGCCUGGCUACUUAGUGGUGGCUGCACUGGUGUGAUUAACAGAACUCAUACAGGGAACAAGUGGCAUUGGGCUGCUUACAUCAAAGAGCAGCCAGUGGUAUCCUGAGACAGAAGCCACAGGUGUGUCUUGAAUGCAGUCACUCUCCUCUUCCUUCUGGGUCUCUGAACACUCUUGCAUUUUAAGCCAGUCUGGGCAGAACUUUACAGCUUAUUUUUGGCAGGAUGUGAAAGAGCUUCUUGUCAAGCCUUUUAACUUCAGAUCGGUCAGCACCACUUUCUGAAAUUUUUUUCAGCGUUCAGUCUUUAUUCUGUGCCAAGUAUGAGCUGCCUGCAGAGUACAAUAUUGCACUUACAGCAACUGCAGUUCAGCUGUCACAUUCCAGGUGGAAUUUCAGAUGUUUACAGAUGAGACAAGUCUACAGUUCAAUGUAUAAAUAUCUUAAAUCUGGCCCUCUCCCACCACAAAAUCACAAACUGAUUUUGAAGGAAAUCAAUUCGUAGCUCUGGAGCAAGUUCAUUCUGUGCCCAUGACAUGCUGCAGCCAUUCAUUAAACAAAAACUUUUAAGUCUUUCAGAACAUUAGCAAAGACCUCUAAGAACAAAAGGGUAAGACUACUGAUGGUAUUUUACAACUUUGACAUAUGUAAAACACGCUCAGGUAGCAUAUAUUCUGCUAGAUUGUGUGAAGAAACAAUGUACUCCAUCAAGUACUAGAACUGGGUAUAUCAAGUCCGGAAUGAGUAACUUAUAAUAAUUAUACAUAUAUGCAAUUAAAAUAGAACAUACCAGCAAAUAAAGUUACAUUAAAUUAACAUACUGUGUAGGUUUGGCUAGCAUGGAGUUAAUAUUCUUUAUAGUAGCUAUUACAGGGCUGUUUUCAAUUUGUCCUCAAAAUAGUGUCAAGAUAGGGCUGUUUUCAGCAUUGCUGAGCAGUGCUUACACACCAUCAAGGCCUUUUCUCCUUCUCACUCUACUGCACCAGUGAGGGGACUGGGGAUGCAUAUGGAGAGGGGAGAGGACCCAUCCAAUACAUCUGAUCCCAGCUGGGUGUCAGCAUAAAGCUGGAGGGAGAAGGAAAGGGGGGAUAUUUCAAGUGUUCGCAUUUCUCUUCCAUAGUAACUUAAGCAGAAUGGACCCCUGCUCCUGAAGAUAUCUGGAUACUUGUCCACCAGUGGGAAGUGGUGAAUGAAUUGUUUCGUUAUCUUGUGUGCAUGGCUUCUGCCUUACCUAUUAAACUGUUUUUAUUUCAA
This is a non-coding RNA of Cyanistes caeruleus (blue tit), 2968 nucleotides long. Lineage: Eukaryota; Metazoa; Chordata; Aves; Passeriformes; Paridae. The record is from RefSeq and is a predicted model, not a curated record.